Regulatory RNA element from Bacillus sp. FJAT-27916, 128 nucleotides. It matches the Rfam family "PyrR binding site". Rfam says of the family: This family represents the PyrR binding site and terminator structure. This RNA structure is found upstream of a variety of genes involved in pyrimidine biosynthesis and transport. NCBI's taxonomy places the organism in Bacteria, Bacillati, Bacillota, Bacilli, Caryophanales, Bacillaceae. The record is from Rfam.
AAGUCCUUUAAUACAGUCCAGAGAGGCUGAAAAGGUACGUGAUGAUACUUGAACAUGGAGAAAUACUGUAUUUUUCUAUGAUGAUUGCGAUCUGAAUCCUUUUGCCUCUGGCAAAAGGAUUUUUUAUU